UCCACAGUGCCAACAUAACAGCCUGACCACUCAUCUCCUACUUCCUCUGCGGGGUGAACUUUCCAAAGACGACCACUGUAUUAAGACUCCGUCACCUGGCAAUGGCAACGACCACCAUCAAAAGACUUCGUCACCAGGGAAUCACAGACUCAAUGUGCUCCAUCCACAGUGCCAACAUAACAGCCUGACCACUCAUCUCUUACUUCCUCUGCGGGGUGAACUUUCCAAAGACGACCACUGUAUUAAGACUCCGUCACCUGGCAAUGGCAACGACCACCAUCAAAAGACUUCAUCACCAGGGAAUCAAAGACUCAAUAUGCUCAUAAGGUUUUGAAACUCCUUACGUAGAAUUGUGGAAAAUCCAGACUUAACAAAUUGACCCCUCAUCUCCUACUUCCUCUGCGGGAUGAACCUACCAAAGACCACCACCUUGUUAGGAUUCAGUCACCUGGGAAUGGCAAUGACCACCAUCAAAAGACUUCGUCACCAGGGAAUCACAGACUCAAUGUGCUCCAUCCACAGUGCCAACAUAACAGCCUGACCACUCAUCUCCUACUUCCUCUGCGGGGUGAACUUUCCAAAGACGACCACUGUAUUAAGACUCCGUCACCUGGCAAUGGCAACGACCACCAUCAAAAGACUUCAUCACCAGGGAAUCAAAGACUCAAUAUGCUCAUAAGGUUUUGAAACUCCUUACGUAGAAUUGUGGAAAAUCCAAACUUAACAAAUUGACCCCUCAUCUCCUACUUCCUCUGCGGGAUGAACCUUCCAAAGACCACCACCUUGUUAGGAUUCAGUCACCUGGGAAUGGCAAUGACCACCAUCAAAAGACUUCGUCACCAGGGAAUCACAGACUCAAUGUGCUCCAUCCACAGUGCCAACAUAACAGCCUGACCACUCAUCUCCUACUUCCUCUGCGGGGUGAACUUUCCAAAGACGACCACUGUAUUAAGACUCCGUCACCUGGCAAUGGCAACGACCACCAUCAAAAGACUUCGUCACCAGGGAAUCAAAGACUCAAUAUGCUCAUAAGGUUUUGAAACUCCUUACGUAGAAUUGUGGAAAAUCCAAACUUAACAAAUUGACCCCUCAUCUCCUACUUCCUCUGCGGGAUGAACCUACCAAAGACCACCACCUUGUUAGGAUUCAGUCACCUGGGAAUGGCAAUGACCACCAUCAAAAGACUUCGUCACCAGGGAAUCACAGACUCAAUGUGCUCCACCCACAGUGCCAACAUAACAGCCUGACCACUCAUCUCUUACUUCCUCUGCGGGGUGAACUUUCCAAAGACGACCACUGUAUUAAGACUCCGUCACCUGGCAAUGGCAACGACCACCAUCAAAAGAUUUUGUCAACUGGCAAUGGCAACGACCACCAUAAGAGGACUCUGUCACCUGCGUGUGCAGUCUGUGCGUAGCUCAAUACUUACUACUCCAGUGCAAAGAAAACGGUCUGAUUGGGUCCGGAGCUGACGUCACACGCCCUCCCUGAAAACGCUUCCUGACACUCCCAGAAAGUGUCCAGUUACCACCCACAAACGUCCUCUUCCUCUCAAUCCCCUUGCAAUCAUUGUACCUAGUGUGUCAGGAAUCUGCAUUCUCCGUCGCAUCACUACAGUGGAACUACAGGUUCCAGCAGUUCAGUUCUGUUCCAGUUUUCAGUCUACUGCAGCCUGGAGUACACAGUGCUUCAGCUAACCCACAGCUGAUCUGAACACCUAAUCCAGCAGGGUGUGUUCUCACAGAGAUGCAACAUCCAAUCAUCACAGACCAAGGGGUAUAAACUCCAGUUCCUGGCUCAGUCUCAUUGCCUUGGGCAACACGUCACAUUCUGUGAACAGGUGUCUCCUGUUUUCAGUCCUCUGUCUGCAGAGAUACCCCUGUGUAUUGGACCUGUGGAAAUACAGGUUCCAGUUCCAGGUUCCAGUCUUCAAUCCUUUGUUUCCAGCAGUCUCCUAUUUCUGGCAUCUCCAAGUUGUUUCCCUGUUCCAGUGUUCCUGUGGAACUACAAGUACCAGCAACCACUCCAGCUCUCCUGCGAGUCACAUUCAGUGUGCAAGUUCCUGUUUCCAAUGGUUUCCUUGUCAUUCUUCAGUCUUCAGUUUGCUAUGAACUCCAGCCACAGUUUGCCACAACAACUUGCAGUAAGAGACUUUCUUCAGGUGUUCUUCUAUUACUCAGCCUGUGCACCCGAUUACCAGCAUCUAGCAUUGUGCAUUGCAUUCAGCACUUAACAACUUGCUGUGUUAGAACUGUCUCCUGCUAGGGCCUUGCUUGGCUUAAAGACGUGUGCUUCUACAGAGACUGUGUACUUUGAUUGCUGUUUGUUAUAUAUCGGAGUUUCGUUUGCUGCAUCUGAUUUCAUUAUUGCCUUAUCAUUUAUAUCAAGUUACAAGUUCAUCUUCAUUGCUCAUUUGUUACCAGUGACUUUUGAAUAUCGGAUUAAGUUAUUAUUCAUUGUUCCUGUCAUCCGUUAUCCCUGUGUGAUAAUAAAUA
This is a long non-coding RNA of Pseudophryne corroboree (corroboree frog), 2495 nucleotides long. RefSeq lists it as uncharacterized. The transcript has 9 exons. Lineage: Eukaryota; Metazoa; Chordata; Amphibia; Anura; Myobatrachidae. The record is from RefSeq and is a predicted model, not a curated record.